This 441-nucleotide long non-coding RNA is filed under the name Trifolium pratense (red clover). Its description in RNAcentral is "long non-coding RNA (TPRA_LNC012526)". Lineage: Eukaryota; Viridiplantae; Streptophyta; Magnoliopsida; Fabales; Fabaceae. The record is from RNAcentral.
UCCGGAUCGUCCAUUAAUUCAAAUUUUUUCUUAGCUAGUCUUUAUAAACUUGAUAUAUAUACACACAUAUUUUUUUCGAUAAUUAAAGCUAGCUAAUUAUAGAUAAAUGCAUGCAUAAGAAUAUGAAUAUAUGAUAUAUCCAAUUAUAUAAUAUCUUGAAAUAAAUCAAUCUACGUGGAAAACCAAUCAACAAAAAGUAUCUUUCAUUUCCUCUCAUCGUUACCAAAACCCUUUAAAAGACGCAACUCCAAACACUUCCCUCUCUAUAUAAACACACACUCCCAAACACUCCAUACACCCCACCUUACUCUCUCUCAUUCAUUCUCAUUAUUAUUCAAUUUAUCACACAAACCAAUUAUGGGCUCUUACAAAAAGUUAAUAACUUUCAUGUUAUUAAUUUUUAUAGUGAUUACAUUAAGUGAAGGAAGAGUACCCUUUGCA